Molecule: ribosomal RNA, 484 nt
Filed under: uncultured bacterium
Lineage: Bacteria
Description: SSU rRNA
Rfam family: Bacterial small subunit ribosomal RNA
Source: RNAcentral
AGGACGAACGCUGGCGGCGUGCUUAACACAUGCAAGUCGAGCGACGCUCCUCCUUCGGGAGGAUGACGGAGCGGCGAACGGGUGAGUAACACGUGGGCAACCUGCCCCUAGCUCUGGGAUAACCCCGGGAAAUCGGGACUAAUACCGGAUAUGACCUCGGAAGGCAUCUUCUGAGGUGGAAAAGGUUUACUGGCUAGGGAUGGGUCCGCGGCCUAUCAGCUUGUUGGUGGGGUAACGGCCCACAAGGCGACGACGGGUAGCCGGCCUGAGAGGGCGACCGGCCACACUGGGACUGAGACACGGCCCAGACUCCUACGGGAGGCAGCAGUGGGGAAUAUUGCACAAUGGGCGAAAGCCUGAUGCAGCGACGCCGCGUGAGGGAUGAAUGCCUUCGGGUUGUAAACCUCUUUCAGCAGGGACGAAGCGCAAGUGACGGUACCUGCAGAAGAAGCACCGGCCAACUACGUGCCAGCAGCCGCGGUAA